This 128-nucleotide non-coding RNA is filed under the name Yersinia enterocolitica (type O:2) str. YE3094/96. It matches the Rfam family "TPP riboswitch aptamer (THI element)". Rfam says of the family: Vitamin B(1) in its active form thiamin pyrophosphate (TPP) is an essential coenzyme that is synthesised by coupling of pyrimidine and thiazole moieties in bacteria. The previously detected thiamin-regulatory element, thi box was extended, resulting in a new, highly conserved RNA secondary structure, the THI element, which is widely distributed in eubacteria and also occurs in some archaea. Analysis of operon structures identified a large number of new candidate thiamin-regulated genes, mostly transporters, in various prokaryotic organisms. Lineage: Bacteria; Pseudomonadati; Pseudomonadota; Gammaproteobacteria; Enterobacterales; Yersiniaceae. The record is from RNAcentral.
AAUUCUGACUCGGGGUGCCUGCUACAAAUCGUGGUAUGGCUGAGAUAUUACCCGUAUACCCGUAUUACCCGUAUUACCCGUAUUACCUGAUCUGGAUCAUACCAGCGUAGGGGUACGGCAUUAGCUCA